CUCAUUAGAUAACUUAAAACAAGUAAUGAUCUCUUAAAUCAAUUUAUAGUAAAGUAGUGAUUACUUCUAAUGA
This 73-nucleotide transfer RNA is filed under the name Olidiana longisticka. Its description in RNAcentral is "tRNA-Lys". Lineage: Eukaryota; Metazoa; Arthropoda; Insecta; Hemiptera; Cicadellidae. The record is from RNAcentral.